RNAcentral lists this long non-coding RNA (3385 nucleotides) under Malus domestica (apple). RNAcentral's name for it is "long non-coding RNA (MDOM_LNC000714)". Lineage: Eukaryota; Viridiplantae; Streptophyta; Magnoliopsida; Rosales; Rosaceae. The record is from RNAcentral.
UUGGGAGGUACAGCCGCCCUACCCUCAGGGACCGUUCGGCCUUCCAAGGUGGUAUUAUAGCGUACUUUAUGUACGUCGAUCAUUGCAGGUGCGUUUGCAGUGGGUAUAUGUGAUCUUGUCACCUUUGCUAGAUUAGUAAAAGCAUCUGGCAUGCCUUGAGCAAUGCUUCGAAGAUCUACAAUAUGAUGUGUUUGUACCAUACUUGACCAAUCCCGAAACUACUGAGCACCGGUUAACGUUAUACCGUCAAGGACCUAGAAGAGUUUCCCUCCAACUAGGAGGCCAAUCACAGCGCGACACGUGUCGACAUCAGAAGCCAAUCAUAGCGUGACACGUGUCAACAUCAGAAGCCAAUCACAACACGACACGUGUCAAUGUCAGAAUGAAACUAGAAACUCUCUUCUAUAAAUAGAGAUCAUUCUCUCACAAUAUUUCCUAAUAUCAUUUGUACUAAAUCAUUCACUUGUAUUCACUAAAGGAGAGCUUGAACCUAUGUACUUGAGUGUUCAACUUCCCUAAAGAACAAGCUUUGCAUGGGAGGGAUUCAACAUAUGGAGGUAAAUGAUGCCCAUGUGAUGAUUUAAGGAUAUGGCGCAUCAUGUCAAGUUCGGGACGUCUCAUACCAUCAUGACAAAGUAGUACAGUGCUCUGGAACCCAGGCACAAUGUCGGCCACAUGGUGGGUCUCUAUGCCGUGAAUGGUUGUGAUGUACAACCCACAUUCCAGCUUUUCAUAAAUAUGCUUCUGGCCAUAUUCGUAAGAAGUGAUACAAAGAAAUACAGAACCAUUCUCUUCAAUGGUUUCAACAUGAUAUUUAUUAUCUCAAAUAUCUCUAAAAUUCAGCAACGUUCUUCUGAAACGUGGAGAAUAGAGUGCUUCUUUAAUGGUUAAGACAAUAUCAUUGAACAACAUUAUACGAGCAUUUUCGUAUCAUUUUAUCAGGUUGGAUGAGCCUGAGAGGGUUGUUAGAGGUGCAUUCUUAGGUACGAAGUUAGUAAAAUAGUGUCACUCACUCAAGAUGGUGUGUGUGGUAGCACUAUUAGCCACACAACUAACUUCCGCACUAGUCAUACCUAGAAAUAAAUUAAUUGAAUGGGUCACAUGUAUAAAUAUAAUUCCAUUCAUUCAAUUAAUCAAUCGAGAAAUAAUAUACAUAAAAAAAUAAUUAUCCAUAAUUCAUAACAAACCAAACCAACAAAUUAUUCCAAAGACUUAAAAAAAAUUCCCAAAAAUUAAACCAUAAACCUAAAAAUUACGAGGGGGUUCGGCCACUCUUAGUGAGUUCAGCUACUAAGGGUAAAAACACCCUAAAAACAUAGAAGAAUAAAACUUAUUCGUCCAUAGGAGUUGAUGCCUCCUGAAAAUCUAAUAUCUCCAUGGAUGUGGUAGCAUCUUUGGGAUUUUCCACACGGGCAAAGUUAGACUCACGACGGUAAUGAUACUUGGCAAUAGCCUCGGGGGUAGCUCGAUAUACGUGUGACCAAUGAUCCUUUGAUCCAAAGCGGUAUCACAUGUCCAAUUCAGUGAAAGCCAAUUGAACGGUAGUUUUUCCCUUGUUCUUGAAGUUUGGGGUGUUAGGGGCAAGGGGUUGGCGCUUCUGGGUUAAAUUUCCUCCUUGGGUAGGCCUCUACCUUGUUGACCUUGGGUCUGUGGUGGGGCCUGUUGCCCAUUACCACUGCCACGAUGGUUCUUUCUUCGCUUGUGGCUGCUAGAAUUAGUCUCAUGUGCUUUAGGCAAAGCGUUCGAGCCAGUGGAUCAAGCUUGAUGAUUUCUCAUCAAAAGAUGGUAUUGUUUUUUAGCAAGAAGUAAAACAGAGAUCAAAUCCAAAAUUUUGGUGAACUUAUGUGCCCUAUAUUGUUGCUACAAGACAAUAUUUAUAGCAUUGAAGGUCAAAUGGGUCUUCUCCAAGAGAUCUUCGUCAAUUAAGUCCACUUUACAGAACUUAAACAGUGAUCGGAUUCUACAAACUUCAGAGUUGUAUUCAUUCACAUACUUAAAGUCUAAAAAGCGUAAACGCUACUAGUCGUGUCUUGCUUCAGGCAAGUAAAUGUCUUUCUGGUGAUUGAAACGAUCAGACAGAGCAAGCCAGAAGGUGUGUGGGUCCUCCUCAACAAGGUACUCGAUCUGCAGUGCAUCAUAGAUGUGUCUUCUAAUGAAGAUCAUUACAAUAGCUUUCUCAGCUUCGUUGACGAGGUCAUCGUCAAUAGGUUCCUCGAUGGCGGCUCUAAUACCCUACGCGGUAAGAUAGAGCUUCACGUCUUGAACCCACUUCAGGUAGUUUCUUUCCAAAGCGGUGAAAUUGAGCUUGUUCAAGUUCGACAUGUCCCUAAAAUAGAGGGUACAACAAAAACGUGGUUAGUCAUAUGGGAAUCUGUAAACAUACAUCGUAUGGUAAUCUAUAGACAUACAUCGUAGAACAUUCAGGUUCUAUAGACAUGUGUAGGUUUAAUUUAAGCAUGUAAGCUUCAGGUUUCAUGUGGUAAGUUUUGAAUGAAAACUUCGAGUUUCAAAGGCACUAAAUAUGAAACUACAAAUUCAAUUUAGUUUUAUGAAUGAUUAGUUCAUAAAGGAGAGGUUCUUGCAAGAAUACAAAAUGCAACAUGUUGAUUUAAGUGUAGUGAAUUUGAGUUACUUUGGGAAUUCAAGUGUGAGAGCUUCAGGACUACAAAAGGAUGUCAACGGUUCAAACUAGAAAAAUAAAUCAUUGAGUUAUUAAUGUUCAAAAGUGAUCUUCAGGUCAAUAAUUUUGGAUUAAUUAUCAUAUUAAUGGACCACGAGUCACUUUUAUUUAAUUUAAUAGAUCGAGACGAAAUCCUGGAAGCAAAAUAAUGACAGACGGGUCAUAUUAGCUUCAGUUGGUGAUAGACCAAGUGAUAAUUAGAUUAGAAUUAAUUAGCGUAAACCAAAGUACCCCAAUUAAAAUAAUGGGGUAUGAUUUAUAAUGUGGGAAUACCAAAAAUUAGCAUUGGGUCGAAAAAAUAUUGUGGCCCAGCCUUAUUAGGCUGGUUGCGGUGCGGGUCUAAGCCUUGCAACACUACUAAAGGCUAUUGGGCCUUCGGAAGGGCUGCGGGUGCAGCCCAGAUAUGGAUUAAGCCGAGUCUAGGAUAAAGCCCACCAGCAAAAGAUGCUGGUUUUUGCCAAAACGAGGCACGAGAGCAAGCCCAGCCGAAGGCUGGCUUACGGGUUGGCGUUGAAAGCCCAGCCGAAGCUGGCUUUCUAGUUUAGGCUAGGGCAGUUCAAACCCGGCAACAUCUAAAGCUGCUGGCGAGUUGGGCCAAGGAUUGGCGAAGCCUAGCAAACGACAUGGACUUGCUGUAGUUGGGCCUGGGGCACAAGACAAAGCCCAACAACUCAAAAGGUUGUUGGUUUGGGCUAAAGAGACUAC